Molecule: ribosomal RNA, 468 nt
Filed under: uncultured bacterium
Lineage: Bacteria
Description: partial 16S ribosomal RNA
Rfam family: Bacterial small subunit ribosomal RNA
Source: RNAcentral
GACGAACGCUGGCGGCGUGCUUAACACAUGCAAGUCGAACGGAAAGGCCCUGCUUGUGUGGGGUGCUCGAGUCGGGAGGGGGUGUGUAACACGUGAGUAACCUGGCCUUGGCUUUGGGAUAACUUCAGGAAACUGCGGCUAACACCGGCUAGGAGCUCCUGCUGCAUGGGGGGGGUUGGAAAGUUUGGGCGGUUGUGGAUGGACGCGCGGCUUAUCAGCUUGUUGGUUGGGGAGUGGCUUAGGAAGGGUUUGACGGGUAGCCGGCAUGAGAGGGUGGCCGGCCACAUUGGGCCUGCGAUACGGCCCAGACUGCUACGGGAGGCAGCAGUGGGGAAUAUUGCACAAUGGGCGGACGCGUGAUGCAGAAACGCCGCGUGCGGGAUGACGGCCUUCGGGUUGUAAACCGCUUUAGCCUGUGACGAAGCGUGAGUGACGGUAAUGGGUAAAGAAGCACCGGCUAACUACGUG